AUGCACUGUUUAGAGAUCUACUUCACUGGGACAUUCUCCAGUCAGCUCACUGUUCAUUAUCUAGCUCUUGUCAUAUUCCUUUACUUGAGGACAAGCAAAAGUUUAAGUGUGGGGGAACUUGAUAAGCACAUUUCUUAUAUAGAAUUUUGGGAAGAGAAGAGGAGGGCCAAUGUGCAAAUGUGGCAGAUCAGAGAGGGGAAUGAAAUCCCUAGCGGCACCUCAUUGCAAAUCGGGCCUGGCCACAUCUCCAUCUCUCUCCCCCUCACCACUUCUUCCACCACCGGCCGCCGCCGCGGCCAGGCCGGCGUGGCGGCGCGCCACCCCUCCGCUGCUGCUCCUCUCACCAUGCUGCUUCUCCUCUUGCUGCUGCUGCCCGCCCCCGACCUCCUCCUGCUAUCUCUCUCUACUUCCCCUGCUACCUUUCUUCUCUGA
RNAcentral lists this ribosomal RNA (432 nucleotides) under Triticum aestivum (bread wheat). RNAcentral describes it as "partial small subunit ribosomal RNA". Lineage: Eukaryota; Viridiplantae; Streptophyta; Magnoliopsida; Poales; Poaceae. The record is from RNAcentral.